This 335-nucleotide ribosomal RNA is filed under the name uncultured bacterium. Its description in RNAcentral is "partial 16S ribosomal RNA". It matches the Rfam family "Bacterial small subunit ribosomal RNA", at positions 338 to 693 of the family's 1533-position model. The record is from RNAcentral.
CCUACGGGGGGCAGCAGUGGGGAAUAUUGCACAAUGGGGGAAACCCUGAUGCAGCGACGCCGCGUGAAGGAAGAAGUAUUUCGGUAUGUAAACUUCUAUCAGCAGGGAAGAAAAUGACGGUACCUGACUAAGAAGCCCCGGCUAACUACGUGCCAGCAGCCGCGGUAAUAAGUAGGGGGCAAGCGUGAUCAGGAUUUACUGGGUGUAAAGGGAGAGUAGACGGAGUUGAAAGUCAGAAGUGAAAGCCGGGGGCUAAACUCCAGGAAGGCGUUGGAAACGGGUGGACGGGAGUGCAGGAGAGGUAAGGGGAAGUACGAGUGGAGAGGGGAAAGGAG